Molecule: unclassified non-coding RNA, 260 nt
Filed under: Microsphaeropsis sp.
Lineage: Eukaryota; Fungi; Ascomycota; Dothideomycetes; Pleosporales; Didymellaceae
Description: partial contains 5.8S ribosomal RNA, internal transcribed spacer 2, and large subunit ribosomal RNA
Rfam family: 5.8S ribosomal RNA (bases 1-52)
Source: RNAcentral
AACGCAUAUUGCGCCCUCUGGUAUUCCGGGGGGCAUGCCUGUCCGAGCGUCAUUACUACUCUCAAGCACGGCUUGUUUGUUGAGCUAUUUGUCCCUUUUGGGACAGGCUUGAAAUGCAGUGGCGGAUGUUGGGUCUGGUGCCCGAGUGUAUGGAGCUUUGUCACACGCUCUGAUGGCCCAGCUGGCAUUCUGUCAAAACCUUUUUAAUUUUUACAUCUGGAUUUGACCUCGGAUCAGGUAGGAAAACCCGCUGAACUUAA